Molecule: long non-coding RNA, 473 nt
Organism: Drosophila obscura
Lineage: Eukaryota; Metazoa; Arthropoda; Insecta; Diptera; Drosophilidae
Exons: 3
Source: RefSeq, a predicted model, not a curated record
UAAUCUCAGUAAUCCAUGCCGAAUGGAAACGCAGUUGUCGAAUUCCGCUUCGUGUGAGAAUACUGAAAAAUAGUCAGUGUGUUGUGGAGUCCAACACAUACACAUCAACAAAGUUUUUGUUGAGUAGUUAUAAGCAAAAAGUGUAAAUAUUUUUAGUUAUGUUUAAGUAAAAAGUGGAUUUUUUUUAAAACACUCGAAAUCCGCCCGUUCCUACCAUAGCAGAGCCUCUUUUAUUCCCUCUUGGGGGCAUCUUUCAAUGAUGCCCUUGAGAGAUCCGAGAAGUUGUAGGUGAGAUGAUCCAGGGUUUGCGAGGACCACACAGGAUAUACAGUCAAAGGUGCAGCAGCCAAAUACGCCGCCACAUAUGCCGCCACAUAUGCCGCCACAUACUAAAAACACAGGAUACAUGGACACGAUUUUGAUUUGAAGUGUGGAGUGGAGAGCGUGGACACUAACCAUACAGUAUACUGUAU